RNAcentral lists this ribosomal RNA (253 nucleotides) under uncultured bacterium. RNAcentral's name for it is "partial 16S ribosomal RNA". It matches the Rfam family "Bacterial small subunit ribosomal RNA", at positions 524 to 776 of the family's 1533-position model. The record is from RNAcentral.
UACGUAGGGUGCAAGCGUUAAUCGGAAUUACUGGGCGUAAAGCGUACGCAGGCGGCUAUGUAAGACAGGUGUGAAAUCCCCGGGCUUAACCUGGGAACUGCGCUUGUUACUGGCAGGCUUGAGUGUGGCAGAGGGGGGUGGAAUUCCACGUGUAGCAGUGAAAUGCGUAGAGAUGUGGAGGAACACCGAUGGCGAAGGCAGCCCCCUGGGCUAACACUGACGCUCAUGCACGAAAGCGUGGGGAGCAAACAGG